AACCCAUGGUAGGGGCACCUUCUCAAUAAAUCGUUGUAUCUCUCCCAUGCACCAUAAAGGGUUUCUAAAUCCAUCUACACAAAAGAAGAGAUAUCAUUCCUCAACUU
Non-coding RNA from Gossypium hirsutum (cotton), 107 nucleotides. Lineage: Eukaryota; Viridiplantae; Streptophyta; Magnoliopsida; Malvales; Malvaceae. The record is from Rfam.